Molecule: ribosomal RNA, 452 nt
Filed under: uncultured bacterium
Lineage: Bacteria
Description: bacterial SSU rRNA
Rfam family: Bacterial small subunit ribosomal RNA
Source: RNAcentral
UACGGGAGGCAGCAGUGGGGAAUAUUGCACAAUGGGCGCAAGCCUGAUGCAGCCAUGCCGCGUGUAUGAAGAAGGCCUUCGGGUUGUAAAGUACUUUCAGUCGUGAGGAAGGUGUUAAGGUUAAUAACCUUAGCAAUUGACGUUAGCGACAGAAGAAGCACCGGCUAACUCCGUGCCAGCAGCCGCGGUAAUACGGAGGGUGCGAGCGUUAAUCGGAAUUACUGGGCUAAAGGGCACGCAGGCGGUUAAUUAAGUUGGAUGUGAAAUCCCCGGGCUAACCUGGGAAUGGCAUUCAAGACUGGUUAGCUAGAGUCUUGUAGAGGGGGUAGAAUUCCAUGUGUAGCGGUGAAAUGCGUAGAGAUGUGGAGGAAUACCGGUGGCGAAGGCGGCCCCUGGGACAAAGACUGACGCUCAUGUGCGAAAGCGUGGGGAGCAAACAGGGAUUAGAUACC